Molecule: long non-coding RNA, 224 nt
Organism: Tachysurus fulvidraco (yellow catfish)
Lineage: Eukaryota; Metazoa; Chordata; Actinopteri; Siluriformes; Bagridae
Exons: 3
Source: RefSeq, a predicted model, not a curated record
GAUUAAUUAGUUUCCGGGUUUUACACGUGGUUUGCAGGUGUAGUUAACAGCAGCUCGCUUAUUCUGCACGGAUUCCUGCUGAUCGCAGUAACGAAACGACUUCCUAGAUGAAUUCUGUCAAAGGAUUUAUGAGAAAGAAAAGGAUCCGAAGGAGACAUCCAUGUCUCUCUGGAUCUCCUUGGCACCAAACAAGGUGGUCAAACUUAAACAUGAAGAUGAUGAUG